Molecule: ribosomal RNA, 151 nt
Filed under: uncultured archaeon
Lineage: Archaea
Description: partial 16S ribosomal RNA
Rfam family: Archaeal small subunit ribosomal RNA
Source: RNAcentral
UACGGGGCGCAGCAGGCGCGAAACCUUUACACUGCACGCCAGUGCGAUAAGGGGACUCCAAGUGCGAGGGCAUAUAGUCCUCGCUUUUUGCGACCGUAAGGUGGUCGCGGAAUAAGUGCUGGGCAAGACCGGUGCCAGCAGCCGCGGUAAU